UACGUAGGGUGCAAGCGUUAAUCGGAAUUACUGGGCGUAAAGCGUGCGCAGGCGGUUCGCUAAGACAGAUGUGAAAUCCCCGGGCUUAACCUGGGAACUGCAUUUGUGACUGGCGGGCUAGAGUAUGGCAGAGGGGGGUAGAAUUCCACGUGUAGCAGUGAAAUGCGUAGAUAUUGGGAGGAACACCAGUGGCGCAAGCGGCUAUCUGGACUGACAUUGACGCUGAGGCACGAAAGCGUGGGGAUCAAACAGG
RNAcentral lists this ribosomal RNA (253 nucleotides) under uncultured bacterium. RNAcentral's name for it is "partial 16S ribosomal RNA". It matches the Rfam family "Bacterial small subunit ribosomal RNA", at positions 524 to 776 of the family's 1533-position model. The record is from RNAcentral.